Molecule: ribosomal RNA, 253 nt
Filed under: uncultured bacterium
Lineage: Bacteria
Description: partial 16S ribosomal RNA
Rfam family: Bacterial small subunit ribosomal RNA
Source: RNAcentral
UACGAAGGGGGCUAGCGUUGCUCGGAAUCACUGGGCGUAAAGGGUGCGUAGGCGGGUCUUUAAGUCAGGGGUGAAAUCCUGGAGCUCAACUCCAGAACUGCCUUUGAUACUGAGGAUCUUGAGUUCGGGAGAGGUGAGUGGAACUGCGAGUGUAGAGGUGAAAUUCGUAGAUAUUCGCAAGAACACCGGUGGCGAAGGCGGCUCACUGGCCCGAUACUGACGCUGAGGCACGAAAGCGUGGGGAGCAAACGGG